This 468-nucleotide ribosomal RNA is filed under the name uncultured bacterium. Its description in RNAcentral is "partial 16S ribosomal RNA". It matches the Rfam family "Bacterial small subunit ribosomal RNA", at positions 28 to 507 of the family's 1533-position model. The record is from RNAcentral.
GACGAACGCUGGCGGCGUGCUUAACACAUGCAAGUCGAACGGAAAGGCCCUGCUUUUGUGGGGUGCUCGAGUGGCGAACGGGUGAGUAACACGUGAGUAACCUGCCCUUGACUUUGGGAUAACUUCAGGAAACUGGGGCUAAUACCGGAUAGGAGCUCCUGCUGCAUGGUGGGGGUUGGAAAGUUUCGGCGGUUGGGGCUGGACUCGCGGCUUAUCAGCUUGUUGGUGGGGUAGUGGCUUACCAAGGCUUUGACGGGUAGCCGGCCUGAGAGGGUGACCGGCCACAUUGGGACUGAGAUACGGCCCAGACUCCUACGGGAGGCAGCAGUGGGGAAUAUUGCACAAUGGGCGGAAGCCUGAUGCAGCAACGCCGCGUGCGGGAUGACGGCCUUCGGGUUGUAAACCGCUUUCGCCUGUGACGAAGCGUGAGUGACGGUAACGGGUAAAGAAGCACCGGCUAACUACGUG